RNAcentral lists this non-coding RNA (56 nucleotides) under unclassified sequences. Its description in RNAcentral is "L17-Actino-Proteobacteria ribosomal protein leader". It matches the Rfam family "L17-Actino-Proteobacteria ribosomal protein leader". The record is from RNAcentral.
CGGCGCCGCGCGACGCGGCGCCGGCCCGACUCCGGUACCUGGUACGGCCGGGGCGG